This is a non-coding RNA of Mycena galericulata, 96 nucleotides long. The record is from the annotation of a GenBank genome assembly. Lineage: Eukaryota; Fungi; Basidiomycota; Agaricomycetes; Agaricales; Mycenaceae.
UCGGACGUGGUGCACGGUGCACACCUGCGCUGAAAUUCUAGAACAAGGUGGAGAUAAAAUAUGUGGGGGUCCUGGGCUCGACUCCCAGCGUUCGAA